GUGGAAGAGUAAACUGUUCCUGUUUCUCCAUCUUGACAGGAAGCAGAAGUUCUCCUUAGCUGAUUUUUCUUCUUGCCUUAUACUGGGUUCUUUAACACCAGAACAAAAAUAAAUAAAUAAAAGAAUCUUCCAGAAAUUCAUGAAGAGACUUCAGGUCAGGAAAGCCUGAACUUUCUCAUCCAACACCCGUUCAAGUCGGAGGAUGCUGAUUAAUUCAUGAUGGAAAGGAGACCUCUGUGGAUUCUAUAACUCAAAGACCCAGGCUGACGGCUGGUGGAAUAGCUACCAUCUCAAACAUGGCGUGAUGCUGCAUCAGAGAGAAAAAUAAGCUCUUGCAUUGACAAUGAAAUGUCUACCCUG
RNAcentral lists this long non-coding RNA (360 nucleotides) under Homo sapiens (human). RNAcentral describes it as "SATB1 antisense RNA 1". The record is from RNAcentral. Lineage: Eukaryota; Metazoa; Chordata; Mammalia; Primates; Hominidae.